RNAcentral lists this transfer RNA (73 nucleotides) under Ovis aries (sheep). It matches the Rfam family "tRNA". Rfam says of the family: Transfer RNA (tRNA) molecules are approximately 80 nucleotides in length. Their secondary structure includes four short double-helical elements and three loops (D, anti-codon, and T loops). Lineage: Eukaryota; Metazoa; Chordata; Mammalia; Artiodactyla; Bovidae. The record is from Rfam by way of RNAcentral.
UCCCUGAUGGUCCAGUGGUUAAGGUUCCGCACUCCCAAUGCAGGGGCCACUGGUUUGAUCCCUGGUCAGGGAA